Molecule: ribosomal RNA, 3310 nt
Filed under: Triploceras gracile
Lineage: Eukaryota; Viridiplantae; Streptophyta; Zygnematophyceae; Desmidiales; Desmidiaceae
Description: bacterial LSU rRNA
Rfam family: Bacterial large subunit ribosomal RNA
Source: RNAcentral
AAUCGAUAGGGAGGCAAGAGACAACCUGGCGAACUGAAACAUCUUAGUAGCCAGAGGAAAAGAAAGCAAAAGCGAUUCCCUUAGUAGUGGCGAGCGAAAUGGGAACAGCCUAAACCGCGUCCCGUUUCGGGAGGCGGGGUUGUGGGAGAGCGACAUAAGCUAAAAGUUACUAGACGAAGCAGCUGAGUCCUGCACCUGAGAUGGUGAGAGUCCAGUAGUUGAAAGUAGCUCUAGCAAACGCUACCACCCGAGUAGCAUGGGGCACGUGAAAUCCCGUGUGAAUCAGCGAGGACCACCUCGUAAGGCUAAAUACUUUUGGGUGACCGAUAGUGAAGUAGUACCGUGAGGGAAAGGUGAAAAGAACCCCCAUCGGGGAGUGAAAUAGAACAUGAAACCGUAAGCCUCCAAGCAGUGGGAGGAGAAUGGAAUCUCUGACCGCGUGCCUGUUGAAGAAUGAGCCGGCGACUUAUAGGCAGUGGCCUGGUUAAGGCGUGAAGCCGGAGCCGUAGCGAAAGCGAGUCUUUCUAGGGCGAAUGUCACUGCUUAUGGACCCGAACCCGGGUGAUCUAACCAUGGCCAGGGUGAAGCUUGGGUGAAGCCAAGUGGAGGUCCGAACCGACUGAUGUUGAAAAAUCAGCGGAUGAGCUGUGGUUAGGGGUGAAAUGCCACUCGAACUCGGAGCUAGCUGGUUCUCCCCGAAAUGCGUUGAGGCGCAGCGGUUGAUUGUACUGUCUAGGGGUAAAGCACUGUUUCGGUGCGGGCUGCGAAAGCGGUACCAAAUCGAGGCAAACUCUGAAUACUAGGCACGACAUUGGUCAGCCAGUAAGACGGUGGGGGAUAAGCUUCAUCGUCAAGAGGGAAACAGCCCAGACCACCAGCUAAGGCCCCUAAAUGACCGCUCAGUGGCAAAGGAGGUGAGAGUGCAAAGACAGCCAGGAGGUUUGCCUAGAAGCAGCCACCCUUGAAAGAGUGCGUAAUAGCUCACUGAUCGAGCGCUCUUGCGCCGAAGAUGAACGGGACUAAGCGGUCUGCCGAAGCUGUGGGAUGUCCGUUAGGGCAUCGGUAGGGGAGCGUUCCGCAAACGGGAGAAGCAUCAGUGUAAACAGGUGUGGACGAAGCGGAAGUGAGAAUGUCGGCUUGAGUAACGCAAACAUUGGUGAGAAUCCAAUGCCCCGAAAACCCAAGGGUUCCUCCGCAAGGCUCGUCCACGGAGGGUGAGUCAGGGCCUAAGAUCAUGCCGAAGGGCGCAGUCGAUGGACAACAGGUCAAGAUUCCUGUACUACCCCUUGUCGGCAAUAAGAGGGACGGAGGAGGCUAAGCUAGCCGAACAAUGGUCAUCGGUUCAAGGGCCCGAAAGCCUGAGUACUAGGCACCUACGGGGCCGAAGUAGCUGAUGCCACGCUCCCAAGAAAAGCUCUUACGCCAUCCCGAAGGUCUCUUUGGGAAAUUAAAUAGCCAUGACAUGAAGUGUGUCUGGAAACUAAGACAAGUGCCUGAAAGGUCCCGUAUGGAGGUACCUGUACCCGAAACCGACACAGGUGGGUAGGUUGAGAAUACCUAGGGGCGCGAGACAACUCUCUCUAAGGAACUCGGCAAGAUGGCCCCGUAACUUCGGGAGAAGGGGUGCCCCUCUGGGCCGCAGUGACCAGGCCCAGGCGACUGUUUACCAAAAACACAGGUCUCCGCAAAGUCGAAAGACGACGUAUGGGGGCUGACGCCUGCCCAGUGCCGGAAGGUUAAGGAAGUCGGUGACUCGAUAACGGGGAAGCUGGCGACCGAAGCCCCGGUGAACGGCGGCCGUAACUAUAACGGUCCUAAGGUUUGCGACAAUAAUUUNCGACAAAGGAGCAAAUAAAUAAGCUAGCUUUAGUAAAACCAAACUAAAUGCUGGAAACUCCUCAAAAACUUGGUACUACUCGUUAUAGAUUCUUUGGGCUUGCAAAGAACCCUCGCUGCUUACUCCCUUAGGUCCUAAGGGGGGUGAAGGCGAUGCCUGUGGAAGACUGUUUUYCCGUUCGUUAGGUCCCCUCAACGGAGGAAGCGAGCAAUAGGUUUUUUGUUUUGUCUUAUCUAGGUCUAAUCUCUUAUUAUGAUCUACUACUCUCGUCAAAGAAUAUGAACUAUUUCAGUCAAAAAGUAUAAGGCAGGGGGACAAUCAGCAGGAAAGACCCCCAGUGUGAAAACAAGGCUCUCCCCAUAGGGGAAGUAUUGUUAAGAGAAAGUUAUAUAGGGGGAAUYCUCAGAGACUAUACGUUUGGAGAUUUUCAAUGAAUUUAGAAACACAAUGGAUUGUUGGGUUCGUUGACGGAGAGGGCUGUUUUCAUGUUUCUAUCAAUAAGAAUAAUGAAAUGUCUCUUGGUGUCCAAAUCCAACCAGAAUUUACUGUUGUUCAACACGAAGACGACAUACAGAUUCUUUAUGCUCUCAAGCAGUACUUUGGUUGUGGCGUUGUACGCCGAAACCAUGGCAAUAGAUUUGCCUAUCGAGUGCGUGGUCAAAAGAAUCUUCGUGACAGGAUUGUUCCAUUUUUGGAGAAUCAUAAAUUAAAGACCAAAAAACGAAUCGACUUUGAAAAGUUUCGAGAUGUUGUUCUUUUGAUAGAAGGACGCAAACAUCUUACGGAAGAAGGGAUUGAGUAAAAUUCGGAAACUUCAAGAAGGUAUGAAUCGUAAAGGGAAGCAUAAUUUAAAUAGCAGGAAGAGUGUUUCUAUAGAAGAUCUAAGAUAGAGUCCAGCUCUUUGUGAAAACAAAGAGAUAAACUGAGCGAAAUUCCUUGUCAGGUAAGUUCUGACCCGCACGAAAGGCGUAACGAUCUGGGCACUGUCUCGGAGAGAGACUCGGUGAAAUAGACUUGUCUGUGAAGAUGCGGACUACCUGCACCUGGACAGAAAGACCCUAUGAAGCUUUACUGUUCCCUGGGAUUGGGUUUGGGCUCUUCUUGCGCAGUCUAGGUGGGAGGUGAAGACAGCGUCCUUCCGGGGACGCUCGAGCCGAAGAUGAGAGACCACCCUAGAAGGGCUAGGAUUCUAACCUUAUGCCUAGAAGAAGGCUAGGGGACAGUCCCAGGUAGACAGUUUCUAUGGGGCGUAGGCCUCCCAAAGGGUAACGGAGGCGUGCAAAGNNNNCCUCAGGCUGGACGGAAAUCAGCCUUCGAGUGUAAAGGCAGAAGGGAGCUUGACUGCAAGACCUACCCGUCGAGCAGGGACGAAAGUCGGCCUUAGUGAUCCGACGGUUCCGAGUGGAAGGGCCGUCGCUCAACGGAUAAAAGUUACUCUAGGGAUAACAGGCUGAUCUUCCCCAAGAGUUCAUA